RNAcentral lists this ribosomal RNA (204 nucleotides) under Triticum aestivum (bread wheat). RNAcentral's name for it is "partial small subunit ribosomal RNA". The record is from RNAcentral. Lineage: Eukaryota; Viridiplantae; Streptophyta; Magnoliopsida; Poales; Poaceae.
CACUCGCCGGUGCGCUACCGCGAUAACCCAAUGGCAUACGAGCCUCCAGUGAUGUGCCACUGCUCAACUCCGAGGAAGGCUCCAAGAUGGAUCUCCUGGAGCAGGCAGAACCCUGGUAGGAGGUACUAUAGCUGCGUGGAUGCGCUGGUAAGUGUGGUUUUAUGCCUAAUUUUCUUCCUUUUUCUUCUGUGCAAUAGUAUGUGA